RNAcentral lists this ribosomal RNA (253 nucleotides) under uncultured bacterium. RNAcentral describes it as "partial 16S ribosomal RNA". It matches the Rfam family "Bacterial small subunit ribosomal RNA", at positions 524 to 776 of the family's 1533-position model. The record is from RNAcentral.
UACGAGGGGGGCUAGCGUUGCUCGGAAUCACUGGGCGUAAAGCGCACGUAGGCGGAUCUUUAAGUCAGGGGUGAAAUCCUGGAGCUCAACUCCAGAACUGCCUUUGAUACUGGGGAUCUCGAGUCCGGGAGAGGUGAGUGGAACUCCGAGUGUAGAGGUGAAAUUCGUAGAUAUUCGGAAGAACACCAGUGGCGAAGGCGGCUCACUGGCCCGGUACUGACGCUGAGGUGCGAAAGCGUGGGGAGCAAACAGG